GUGGGGAAUAUUGCACAAUGGGCGAAAGCCUGAUGCAGCAACGCCGCGUGAGGGACGACGGCCUUCGGGUUGUAAACCUCUUUUAGUAGGGAAGAAGCGAAAGUGACGGUACCUGCAGAAAAAGCACCGGCUAACUACGUGCCAGCAGCCGCGGUAAUACGUAGGGUGCAAGCGUUAUCCGGAAUUAUUGGGCGUAAAGAGCUCGUAGGCGUUCUGUCGCGUCUGCUGGGAAAACUGGAGGCUCAACAUCCAGCCUGCAGUGGGUACAGGCAGACUAGAGUGCGGUAGGGGAGAUUGGAAUUCCUGGUGUAGCGGUGGAAAGCGCAGAUAUCAGGAGGAACACCGAUGGCGAAGGCAGAUCUCUGGGCCGUAACUGACGCUGAGGAGCGAAAGCGUGGGGAGCGAACAGGAUUAGAAACCCUGGUAGUCC
RNAcentral lists this ribosomal RNA (430 nucleotides) under uncultured bacterium. RNAcentral describes it as "partial 16S ribosomal RNA". It matches the Rfam family "Bacterial small subunit ribosomal RNA", at positions 354 to 796 of the family's 1533-position model. The record is from RNAcentral.